Molecule: ribosomal RNA, 189 nt
Filed under: Triticum aestivum (bread wheat)
Lineage: Eukaryota; Viridiplantae; Streptophyta; Magnoliopsida; Poales; Poaceae
Description: partial small subunit ribosomal RNA
Source: RNAcentral
AUGGAUUUUUUGUUUCUUUACUGGCUUCAUAUAAUUCUGAAAACACAAGUUUUCUUGAAGCCUCUUGCUCAUAUCUCUCAUCAAAGGGUGCUAUUCUAUAAUCUUUCAAAUAUUUGUCCCACAUUCAUUCGGGAGGGUACUCCUAAGGGAUUGAAGACCAUAUCAACGGGUGUUCCAUCUUGCAAAUAG